UACGGAGGGUGCGAGCGUUACCCGGAUUUACUGGGCGUAAAGGGCGCGUAGGCGGCCUGUUAAGUCCGAUGCUAAAGACCAGGGCUCAACCCUGGGAAUGCGUUGGAUACUGGCGGGCUCGACGGCUGGAGAGGGUAGCGGAAUUCUCGGAGUAGCGGUGAAAUGCGCAGAUACCGAGAGGAACGCCAAUAGCGAAGGCAGCUACCUGGACGGCACGUGACGCUGAGGCGCGAAAGCGUGGGGAGCAAACCGG
Molecule: ribosomal RNA, 253 nt
Filed under: uncultured Meiothermus sp.
Lineage: Bacteria; Thermotogati; Deinococcota; Deinococci; Thermales; Thermaceae
Description: partial 16S ribosomal RNA
Rfam family: Bacterial small subunit ribosomal RNA
Source: RNAcentral